GCGUGUGUGAAGAAGGCCUUCGGGUUGUAAAGCACUUUCAGUCAGGAGGAAAGGUUAGUAGUUAAUACCUGCUAGCUGUGACGUUACUGACAGAAGAAGCACCGGCUAACUCCGUGCCAGCAGCCGCGGUAAUACGGAGGGUGCGAGCGUUAAUCGGAAUUACUGGGCGUAAAGCGUACGCAGGCGGUUUGUUAAGCGAGAUGUGAAAGCCCCGGGCUCAACCUGGGAACUGCAUUUCGAACUGGCAAACUAGAGUGUGAUAGAGGGUGGUAGAAUUUCAGGUGUAGCGGUGAAAUGCGUAGAGAUCUGAAGGAAUACCGAUGGCGAAGGCAGCCACCUGGGUCAACACUGACGCUCAUGUACGAAAGCGUGGGGAGCAAACAGGAUUAAAUACCCUGGUAGUCCACGCCGUAAACGAUGUCUACUAGAAGCUCGGAACCUCGGUUCUGUUUUUCAAAGCUAACGCAUUAAGUAGACCGCCUGGGGAGUACGGCCGCAAGGUUAAAACUCAAAUGAAUUGACGGGGGCCCGCACAAGCGGUGGAGCAUGUGGUUUAAUUCGAUGCAACGCGAAGAACCUUACCUACACUUGACAUACAGAGAACUUACCAGAGAUGGUUUGGUGCCUUCGGGAACUCUGAUACAGGUGCUGCAUGGCUGUCGUCAGCUCGUGUUGUGAGAUGUUGGGUUAAGUCCCGCAACGAGCGCAACCCCUAUCCUUAGUUGCUAGCAGGUAAUGCUGAGAACUCUAAGGAGACUGCCGGUGAUAAACCGGAGGAAGGUGGGGACGACGUCAAGUCAUCAUGGCCCUUACGUGUAGGGCUACACACGUGCUACAAUGGCGCAUACAGAGUGCUGCGAACUCGCGAGAGUAAGCGAAUCACUUAAAGUGCGUCGUAGU
RNAcentral lists this ribosomal RNA (900 nucleotides) under Pseudoalteromonas sp. DJHH75. RNAcentral's name for it is "bacterial SSU rRNA". It matches the Rfam family "Bacterial small subunit ribosomal RNA", at positions 399 to 1292 of the family's 1533-position model. The record is from RNAcentral. Lineage: Bacteria; Pseudomonadati; Pseudomonadota; Gammaproteobacteria; Alteromonadales; Pseudoalteromonadaceae.